AGGAAGGUGGGGAUGACGUCAAGUCCGCAUGGCCCUUAUGCCCUGGGCUGCACACGUGCUACAAUGGUCGGUACAGAGGGACGCCAAACCGUGAGGUGGAGCAAAUCCCAAAAAGCCGACCCCAGUUCGGAUUGCAGUCUGAAACUCGACUGCAUGAAUGUUGGAAUCGCUAGUAAUCGCGGAUCAGCAUGCCGCGGUGAAUCCGUUCCCGGCCCUUGUACACACCGCCCGUCACGCCAUGGGAGUUGGUAGCAUUCAAAGACGGUGACCCAACCUUCGGGAGGGAGCUGUUUAAAGUGAGACUGAUGACCGGGGCGAAGUCGUAACAAGGUAGCCGUAGGGGAACCUGCGGCUGGAUCACCUCCUUU
RNAcentral lists this ribosomal RNA (368 nucleotides) under Candidatus Poribacteria bacterium. RNAcentral's name for it is "bacterial SSU rRNA". It matches the Rfam family "Bacterial small subunit ribosomal RNA", at positions 1167 to 1533 of the family's 1533-position model. The record is from RNAcentral. Lineage: Bacteria; Candidatus Poribacteria.